Molecule: long non-coding RNA, 799 nt
Organism: Xenopus laevis (African clawed frog)
Lineage: Eukaryota; Metazoa; Chordata; Amphibia; Anura; Pipidae
Exons: 2
Source: RefSeq, a predicted model, not a curated record
CAAAGCUUACAAGGGAGACGGGACGUGGCCCCCACCUCAUUGUAAACACACGCUGGAAAGAGAAAAGAAGAAGACCAAACCAACUCCAGGCACAGCGUCGGUGGCAACAGGAAAGAAUGGUGCACCUGUUACUGUUAUCGAGAUUUCCCCCGAGACGACAGAAGUCAAUGAUUAUUACCUGUGGUCCAUCUUCAACUUUGUUUACCUGAACUUCUGCUGCCUGGGCUUCAUUGCAUUAGCCUAUUCGCUCAAGGUGCGAGACAAGAAGCUGUUGAAUGAUCUCACUGGGGCUGUGGAAGAUGCAAAGACGGCACGAGCCUUCAACAUAACAAGUUCAGCUCUAGCCACACUCUGCAUCAUAAUCCUGCUGCUGUACCUCCGGUCCCCACCUGCUCAAUUCUAGGGUCAGAAUAUUAACCCUGUAGCCAAACUCUGACGGAUAGCCAGGAACUGUUGAUGAGACAAGACAUAAGGAGAAAGCAGCAAGCACAGUUGUUCUCUCCAUUUAACCAUCCCUCCUUUAUAUGCCCCACUCCGGAACUCACUGUGAUGUCAUUAUUCCACUCCACAAGGAAGCCUCCAGAUUGGCUAAUGGCAGCUACUAUGUAACAUAGCGAAGGAGGGUGUUUUACCUUGUUUGCAGCACAGGGGCGGUGAGUCAGUCAAUUGAGUCUGGGCCACUCACUGAGCUCAUUCCGCUCCUGUGCCAAGUCCAAAAUGACCAUGCCUCUGAAUUUCAAUUGUCAGCUCUCUGGGCAGCUGAUUACAUCUCAUUAUUAAAAGACAUUUUUUUUCCUAA